AGUGAACGCUGGCGGUAGGCCUAACACAUGCAAGUCGAACGGCGGCACAGGAGAGCUUGCUCUCUGGGUGGCGAGUGGCGGACGGGUGAGGAAUACAUCGGAAUCUACUUUUUCGUGGGGGAUAACGUAGGGAAACUUACGCUAAUACCGCAUACGACCUACGGGUGAAAGCAGGGGACCUUCGGGCCUUGCGCGAUUGAAUGAGCCGAUGUCGGAUUAGCUAGUUGGCGGGGUAAAGGCCCACCAAGGCGACGAUCCGUAGCUGGUCUGAGAGGAUGAUCAGCUACACUGGAACUGAGACACGGUCCAGACUCCUACGGGAGGCAGCAGUGGGGAAUAUUGGACAAUGGGCGCAAGCCUGAUCCAGCCAUACCGCGUGGGUGAAGAAGGCCUUCGGGUUGUAAAGCCCUUUUGUUGGGAAAGAAAUCCAGCUGGCUAAUACCCGGUUGGGAUGACGGUACCCAAAGAAUAAGCACCGGCUAACUUCGUGCCAGCAGCCGCCGUAA
This 506-nucleotide ribosomal RNA is filed under the name uncultured bacterium. Its description in RNAcentral is "partial 16S ribosomal RNA". It matches the Rfam family "Bacterial small subunit ribosomal RNA", at positions 29 to 523 of the family's 1533-position model. The record is from RNAcentral.